RNAcentral lists this ribosomal RNA (406 nucleotides) under Salmonella enterica subsp. enterica serovar Newport. RNAcentral describes it as "partial 23S ribosomal RNA". It matches the Rfam family "Bacterial large subunit ribosomal RNA", at positions 629 to 1035 of the family's 2925-position model. The record is from RNAcentral. Lineage: Bacteria; Pseudomonadati; Pseudomonadota; Gammaproteobacteria; Enterobacterales; Enterobacteriaceae.
UAUAUUCUGUAGCAAGGUUAACCGUAUAGGGGAGCCGUAGGGAAACCGAGUCUUAACCGGGCGUUAAGUUGCAGGGUAUAGACCCGAAACCCGGUGAUCUAGCCAUGGGCAGGUUGAAGGUUGGGUAACACUAACUGGAGGACCGAACCGACUAAUGUUGAAAAAUUAGCGGAUGACCUGUGGCUGGGGGUGAAAGGCCAAUCAAACCGGGAGAUAGCUGGUUCUCCCCGAAAGCUAUUUAGGUAGCGCCUCGUGAAUUCAUCUCCGGGGGUAGAGCACUGUUUCGGCUAGGGGGCCAUCCCGGCUUACCAACCCGAUGCAAACUGCGAAUACCGGAGAAUGUUAUCACGGGAGACACACGGCGGGUGCUAACGUCCGUCGUGAAGAGGGAAACAACCCAGACCGC